UACGAAGGGUGCGAGCGUUACUCGGAAUUACUGGGCGUAAAGCGUGCGUAGGUGGUUUGUUAAGUCUGUUGUGAAAGCCCCGGGCUCAACCUGGGAAUGGCAAUGGAUACUGGCAAGCUAGAGUGCGGUAGAGGGUAGUGGAAUUCCCGGUGUAGCGGUGAAAUGCGUAGAUAUCGGAAGGAACAUCAGUGGCGAAAGCGACUUCCUGGACCAGUACCGACGUUCAGGCACGAAAGCGUGGGGAGCAAACAGG
RNAcentral lists this ribosomal RNA (253 nucleotides) under uncultured bacterium. RNAcentral's name for it is "partial 16S ribosomal RNA". It matches the Rfam family "Bacterial small subunit ribosomal RNA", at positions 524 to 776 of the family's 1533-position model. The record is from RNAcentral.